GACGAACGCUGGCGGCGUGCUUAACACAUGCAAGUCGAACGGAAAGGCCCUGCUUUUGUGGGGUGCUCGAGUGGCGAACGGGUGAGUAACACGUGAGUAACCUGCCCUUGACUUUGGGAUAACUUCAGGAAACUGGGGCUAAUACCGGAUAGGAGCUCCUGCUGCAUGGUGGGGGUUGGAAAGUUUCGGCGGUUGGGGGUGGACUCGCGGCUUAUCAGCUUGUUGGUGGGGUAGUGGCUUACCAAGGCUUUGACGGGUAGCCGGCCUGAGAGGGUGACCGGCCACAUUGGGACUGAGAUACGGCCCAGACUCCUACGGGAGGCAGCAGUGGGGAAUAUUGCACACUGGGCGGAAGCCUGAUGCAGCAACGCCGCGUGCGGGAUGACGGCCUUCGGGUUGUAAACCGCUUUCGCCUGUGACGAAGCGUGAGUGACGGUAAUGGGUAAAGAAGCACCGGCUAACUACGUG
This 468-nucleotide ribosomal RNA is filed under the name uncultured bacterium. RNAcentral describes it as "partial 16S ribosomal RNA". It matches the Rfam family "Bacterial small subunit ribosomal RNA", at positions 28 to 507 of the family's 1533-position model. The record is from RNAcentral.